RNAcentral lists this ribosomal RNA (431 nucleotides) under uncultured bacterium. RNAcentral's name for it is "partial 16S ribosomal RNA". It matches the Rfam family "Bacterial small subunit ribosomal RNA", at positions 29 to 507 of the family's 1533-position model. The record is from RNAcentral.
AACGAACGCUGGCGGCAGGCCUAACACAUGCAAGUCGAGCGCCCUUUCGGGGGAGCGGCGGACGGGUGAGUACCGCGUGGGAAUAUGCCCUUCUCUACGGAAUAGCCUCGGGAAACUGAGAGUAAUACCGUAUACGCCCUGUGGGGGAAAGAUUUAUCGGGGAAGGAUUAGCCCGCGUUGGAUUAGGUAGUUGGUGGGGUAAUGGCCUACCAAGCCGACGAUCCAUAGCUGGUUUGAGAGGAUGAUCAGCCACACUGGGACUGAGACACGGCCCAGACUCCUACGGGAGGCAGCAGUGGGGAAUCUUAGACAAUGGGGGCAACCCUGAUCGAGCCAUGCCGCGUGAGUGAUGAAGGCCUUAGGGUUGUAAAGCUCUUUCAGCUGGGAAGAUAAUGACGGUACCAGCAGAAGAAGCCCCGGCUAACUCCGUG